This 1489-nucleotide long non-coding RNA is filed under the name Homo sapiens (human). RNAcentral's name for it is "IRS4 antisense RNA 1". Lineage: Eukaryota; Metazoa; Chordata; Mammalia; Primates; Hominidae. The record is from RNAcentral.
GUGACCACAGCCUCACGCGGCGGCCGCUGCGGAUCCUGCUACCGGCGCAAUGGAGGGGCGCGAGCGGCCACCAGUAGAGUCUGGUUCAUUCUUUCCAGCCGCACAAGGCGGCGGAUCGAGCUUCUUGGGAGAAAGUGUCGGCACCCCCUGAAAACGGGUUGACGACCAGGGCGCUCAGAACUGCUUCCCACCGCUCUGCAGGCACUCCCGAGCCCGCUGCACCCCUGACAGAAGCCCGCGACUCUGAGGCACACGAAUAACAGCGAUGCAUUCAAAAUGAACAUGAUCUUUAUUAAUCAGAAUGCACUUCUAGCCCACGAAACACAGGUUCCCUAAAUACAGUGUUUCUGCCUAUUUGAUUAACGAUGACUAUGAAAGCACAAAUUUGGGGGCCUGCAAUGUAUACAGCCAUAUUGGAAAAAAUUGGACUCGAUUCUUACUGAAAUAACCAGUGUUGGGCUGUGAAGGUAUUUUUCUGUGGGAAAUGCUUUGGAAGGUGCCUUUAAAAGAAUCUCAAAAUAUUGCUUUCCUUUCCUUGAGCGAGACCGAAAAACUUUAGAAAAAGAAAAGCUCAUACCUAGAACAAAGGACCACGCUGAAUGCAUAUUCUAGAGCACAUUUCACAUCCCUCGCGUCAACAAGAAGAAGAAGAGGAGCUUUGAUGCAUUUCAGUCUACAAGUUGACAUCACAAAAGUGCUGGAAGCAGCCGUGGUUUCGGAAGGGAGCUAGAGGCAGAACGAGUGUGGAUGCUGAGAGAUCCCUGACUGUGACUGCUACAUAUUUCAGCUGCGUAGUCACAUAUAUACAAGAUUCCCUGCACUUACAACCAAAAUGAUAACAAAUGCUCUCAUUUGGGAUUUUGUUUGAUAGUCAUUAGGAUAUUUUAUAAGUCUUUCCAAGCACAAGGUUUUUUUCUUUUUUUUUUUAAAGAGAAAUGUGACAAAUAAGGCAACAUAUUUGAAAGUGCUUUGAGUAAUAACAUGACAUUGAAAAUAUCAAAAUGAAUAUUAAAUGAAAUGGGAAAAUACUGGAGAUUUUUAAAUCCUCAUGUCCUUUUUCCUGUACAUAUAGUUUUUACAUAGAGCAGUAGGCUUACAAUUUAUAUAAUUUUGCAUCCUGUUCUUUUCACUGAACAUUAUACAAUAUUUCCCCAUAUUAUUAUGCAUCAGCAUAAAUAUCAUUUAAAAUACAACAUAUUAUCCAACACAAUCGAUGAAUAUUAAUGUAAUUAAUCAUCUGCUUUGGGGCAUUUAGGUUGUUUUCAUUUUUUUCAGUAUUAUAAAUAACAUGUCAAUGAAUAUCUUCUACCUACAGCCUUUUAAAAUUCCCAUUGGGUAAAAACUGAGCACUGGAAUUAGUAGGCUAAAAGAUAUGAAUAUUUAAUACAUUAUUUUUCAAAAAUAUUAUAUUAGUUUACCCUGUCACCAGACUGAUUGUCAGCAUUGGACAUUCUUAUUUUUAAAAAAUUAGAGAUAAGAUGGGUGAAAC